RNAcentral lists this ribosomal RNA (661 nucleotides) under uncultured bacterium. RNAcentral's name for it is "bacterial SSU rRNA". It matches the Rfam family "Bacterial small subunit ribosomal RNA", at positions 94 to 788 of the family's 1533-position model. The record is from RNAcentral.
AGUGGCGGACGGGUGAGUAACGCGUGAGAAUCUACCUUCAGGACGGGGACAACAGCUGGAAACGGCUGCUAAUACCCGAUAUGCCGAAAGGUGAAAAGUUUUUUCGCCUGGAGAGGAGCUCGCGUCCGAUUAGCUAGUUGGUGAGGUAAAAGCUUACCAAGGCGACAAUCGGUAGCUGGUCUGAGAGGAUGAGCAGCCACACUGGAACUGAGACACGGUCCAGACUCCUACGGGAGGCAGCAGUGGGGAAUUUUCCGCAAUGGGCGAAAGCCUGACGGAGCAACGCCGCGUGGGGGAAGAAGGUUUUUGGAUUGUAAACCCCUUUUCUCAAGGAAGAACAAAUGACGGUACUUGAGGAAUCAGCCUCGGCUAACUCCGUGCCAGCAGCCGCGGUAAUACGGAGGAGGCAAGCGUUAUCCGGAAUUAUUGGGCGUAAAGCGUUCGUAGGCGGCUGUUCAAGUCUGCUGUCAAAGACCGAGGCUCAACCUCGGGUAGGCAGUGGAAACUGGAUAGCUAGAGGUCGGUAGGGGCAGAGGGAAUUCCCAGUGUAGCGGUGAAAUGCGUAGAUAUUGGGAAGAACACCGGUGGCGAAAGCGCUCUGCUGGGCCGAACCUGACGCUGAGGGACGAAAGCUAGGGGAGCGAAUGGGAUUAGAUACCCC